GACGAACGCUGGCGGCGUGCUUAACACAUGCAAGUCGAACGGAAAGGCCCUGCUUUUGUGGGGUGCUCGAGUGGCGAACGGGUGAGUAACACGUGAGUAACCUGCCCUUGACUUUGGGAUAACUUCAGGAAACUGGGGCUAAUACCGGAUAGGAGCUCCUGAUGCAUGGUGGGGGUUGGAAAGUUUCGGCGGUUGGGGAUGGAAUCGCGGCUUAUCAGCUUGUUGGUGGGGUAGUGGAUUACCAAGGCUGUGACGGGUAGCCGGCCUGAGAGGGUGACCGGCCACAUUGGGACUGCGAUACGGCCCAGACGCCUACGGGAGGCAGCAGUGGGGAAUAUUGCACAAUGGGCGGGAGCCUGAUGCAGCAACGCCGCGUGCGGGAUGACGGCCUUCGGGUUGUAAACCGCUUUCGCCUGUGACGAAGCGUGAGUGACGGUAAUGGGUAAAGAAGCACCGGCUAACUACGUG
This 468-nucleotide ribosomal RNA is filed under the name uncultured bacterium. RNAcentral's name for it is "partial 16S ribosomal RNA". It matches the Rfam family "Bacterial small subunit ribosomal RNA", at positions 28 to 507 of the family's 1533-position model. The record is from RNAcentral.